UGCGUCCAGGGAAAGACGCAGGUCGAUAAGGACAUCGAUCAGGAAAUCGCGGGAUGCGAUUCAUCAGGAUGAUGAGUAAGGAAGGGAGCGGGCGGGUAAAUCCCGCCCCUUUUUUU
This 116-nucleotide small RNA is filed under the name Pseudomonas panipatensis. The record is from RNAcentral. Lineage: Bacteria; Pseudomonadati; Pseudomonadota; Gammaproteobacteria; Pseudomonadales; Pseudomonadaceae.